This 583-nucleotide ribosomal RNA is filed under the name uncultured archaeon. RNAcentral's name for it is "bacterial SSU rRNA". It matches the Rfam family "Archaeal small subunit ribosomal RNA", at positions 1 to 592 of the family's 1478-position model. The record is from RNAcentral.
UCCGGUUGAUCCUGCCGGACCUGACUGCUAUCGGAUUGGUACCUAAGCCAUGUGAGUCAUUGUAGCAAUACAAGGCAGACGGCUCAGUAACACGUAGUCAACCUACCCUAUGGACGAGAAUAACCUCGGGAAACUGAGGAUAAUUCUCGAUAGAUCAUAACUCCUGGAACGGUUUAUGGUUAAAAUGAUUCGUCGCCGUAGGAUGGGACUGCGGUCUAUCAGCUUGUUGGUGAGGUAAUGGCCCACCAAGGCUAUUACAGGUACGGGCUCUGAGAGGAGGAGCCCGGAGAUGGGUACUGAGACAAGGACCCAGGCCCUAUGGGGCGCAGCAGGCGCGAAACCUCUGCAAUAGGCGAAAGCCUGACAGGGUUAUUCUGAGUGACUUUCGCUAAGAAAGUCUUUUGACACCUCUAAAAAUGGUGUAGAAUAAGGGGUGGGCAAGUCUGGUGUCAGCCGCCGCGGUAAUACCAGCACCCCAGCGUGGUCGGGACGAUUAUUGGGCCUACAGCAUCCGUAGCCGGUUUUCAAGUCUUCCGUUGAAUCCCCCUGCUCAACAGAUGGGCUGCGGGAGAUAAUACUGGGC